GAUGAACGCUGACAGAAUGCUUAACACAUGCAAGUCGAUGGGGAAGUGGUUCUUGCACCAUGGUAACCAUGGCGGACGGGUGAGUAACGCGUAAGGAACUCGCCUGCGGGACUGGGAUAACAGCAGGAAACUGCUGAUAAUACCGGAUAAGGUCAUUAAGCUGCAUAGCUUAGCGAUGAAAGGAGACGCCUGCGGAGAGCCUUUCGUCCUAUUAGCUAGUUGGAGGGGUAACGGCCCACCAAGGCGAAGAUAGGUAGCCGGCCGGAGAGGAGGGACGGCCAAGAGGGGAAUGAGAGACAGCACUUGGUACUACGGGAGGAAGCAGUGAGGAAUAUUGGAGAAAGAGCGCAAGCGUGAUGCAGGAAUUCUGUGUGCAAAAAGACGGUUUUCGGAUUGAAAAGUGCUUUCAGCAGGGAAGAGGGAAGUGACGGUACCUGAAGAAGAAGCGACGGCUAAAUACGUG
This 463-nucleotide ribosomal RNA is filed under the name uncultured bacterium. RNAcentral's name for it is "partial 16S ribosomal RNA". It matches the Rfam family "Bacterial small subunit ribosomal RNA", at positions 28 to 507 of the family's 1533-position model. The record is from RNAcentral.